CGCGGGAUUCGGGGUGCAGCAGGCGCUAAACCUCUACAAUGCACGAAAGUGUGAUAGGGGGAUUCUCAGUGCUCAAGUUUUACUUGGGCUUUUGCCAAGAGUAAGUAUCUUGGAGAAUAAGUGGUGGGCAAGACCGGUGCCAGCCGCCGCGGUAAUACCGGCGCCACGAGUGGCAAUCACGAUUAUUGGGCCUAAAGCGUUCGUAGCCGGUUUAGUAAAUUCUUUGUGAAAUCGUACAGCUCAACUGUACGGCGUGCAGGGAACACUGCUAAACUAUAGACCGGGAGGAGUCAGAGGUAUGCCUGGGGGACCGGUAAAAUGGGAUAAUCCCAGGUAGACCACCGAUGGCGAAGGCAUCUGACCAGAACGGAUCUGACGGUGAGGGACGAAAGCCAGGGGAGCGAUCCGGAUUAGAUACCCGAGUAGUCCUGGCUGUAAACGCUGCGAGCAAGGUGUUGCAUAUCUUACAUGGAUUUGCAGUGUCGAAACGAAGGUGUUAAGCUCGCCGCCUGGGGAGUACGGUCGCAAGGCUGAAACUUUAAGGAAUUGGCGGAGGAGCACUACAAGGGGUGCGGCGUGCGGUUUAAUCUAACUCCACGCAGAGAACCUCACUAGAAGCGACGGCAGGAUGAAGGACAAGCUGAAGACUUUUCCUGACGAGCCGAGAGGUAGUGCAUGGCCGUCGUCAGCUCGUGCCGUGAGGUGUCCAGUUAAGUCUGGCAACGAGCGAGACCUGCGCCUACAUUUUCUAACGACUCUUCGGAGGAUCGAGCACAAUGUAGGGACUGCUCCGGUAACGGAGAGGAAGGUGCAGGCUACGGUAGGUCUGUAUGCUCCGAAUCUUCUAGGCUACACGCGCGCAACAAUGGCAGUGACAAUGGGUCGCAACUCCGAAAGGAGAAGCUAAUCCUCGAAACACUGUCUCAGUAUAGAUUGAGGCUUGCAACUCAGCCUCAUGACACCGGAAUCCCUAGUAAUUGGAGUUCAUCAUACUCCAGUGAAUAUGUCCCUGCUCCUUGCACGAGAUUCGCCGAAUCACUAGU
This 1043-nucleotide ribosomal RNA is filed under the name uncultured crenarchaeote. RNAcentral's name for it is "bacterial SSU rRNA". It matches the Rfam family "Archaeal small subunit ribosomal RNA", at positions 314 to 1478 of the family's 1478-position model. The record is from RNAcentral. Lineage: Archaea; Thermoproteati; Thermoproteota.